AGUGACUGGUACUUAGUACAAAAUGAGGGAAAAUAAGGAAAGAAGGAAAUAUAAAACAGAUAAUAUGUUGGUUUUGAAGUGAUUUUAGCUCCUGGCUGACUGCAGGCACAAGAAACUACCAGGAACAGACAUUCAUUAAAGGAGCGUUAUGAACCAUCAGUGGGAGCGACCAUUAUUUAGCCGGGGAGGCGACUGUGGGUCCUCACACUUUCCUCGGUGUCUGCUUUAUGUCCUCUGCAGCAGAAAAACUGAAAGGCUGGUUCUCGUCUCCCAGAGUUUAUUGAAAUCAUGUGAAUGCCAUUUGCGCUUAAUCCUUCUGGGUGUGCCAUAAAGAGAAGAGAGUCGGCAGCUCCUGAAGAGAGAUGAGAGGACCUCAGGGGAUUCACUUUGCUUUGCCUCAUCUGCUGGGAAAGAGAGGAAUAGAGAGAGAGAGAG
Long non-coding RNA from Fundulus heteroclitus (mummichog), 435 nucleotides. RefSeq lists it as uncharacterized. NCBI's taxonomy places the organism in Eukaryota, Metazoa, Chordata, Actinopteri, Cyprinodontiformes, Fundulidae. The transcript has 3 exons. The record is from RefSeq and is a predicted model, not a curated record.